GUCGAGAAUUUUUCUCAAUGGGCGAAAGCCUGAAGGAGCGACGCCGCGUGGAGGAUGAAGGUCUUCGGAUUGUAAACUCCUGUCAUUGGGGAACAAAGCUUCCGGUUAACUGCCGGCGAGUCUGAUAGUACCCGAAGAGGAAGAGACGGCUAACUCUGUGCCAGCAGCCGCGGUAAUACAGAGGUCUCAAGCGUUGUUCGGAUUCAUUGGGCGUAAAGGGUGCGUAGGCGGCGGGGUAAGUCGGAUGUGAAAUCCCAGGGCUCAACCCUGGAACUGCAUUCGAUACUGCCUUGCUCGAGUACUGGAGAGGAGACUGGAAUUUACGGUGUAGCAGUGAAAUGCGUAGAUAUCGUAAGGAAGACCAGUGGCGAAGGCGAGUCUCUGGACAGUUACUGACGCUGAGGCACGAAGGCCAGGGGAGCAAACGGGAUUAGAUACCCCUGUAGUCC
Molecule: ribosomal RNA, 449 nt
Filed under: uncultured bacterium
Lineage: Bacteria
Description: bacterial SSU rRNA
Rfam family: Bacterial small subunit ribosomal RNA
Source: RNAcentral